UGGGGAAUAUUGCACAAUGGACGGAAGUCUGAUGCAGCGACGCCGCGUGGGGGAUGAAGGCUUUCGGGUUGUAAACUCCUUUCAGUACAGAAGAAGCUUUAUUGUGACGGUAUGUGCAGAAGAAGCCCCGGCUAACUACGUGCCAGCAGCCGCGGUAAUACGUAGGGGGCUAGCGUUGUCCGGAAUCACUGGGCGUAAAGGGUUCGCAGGCGGAAAUGCAAGUCAGGUGUAAAAGGCAGUAGCUUAACUACUGUAAGCAUUUGAAACUGCAUAUCUUGAGAAGAGUAGAGGUAAGUGGAAUUUUUAGUGUAGCGGUGAAAUGCGUAGAUAUUAAAAAGAAUACCGGUGGCGAAGGCGACUUACUGGGCUCAUUCUGACGCUGAGGAACGAAAGCGUGGGUAGCAAACAGG
RNAcentral lists this ribosomal RNA (410 nucleotides) under Verrucomicrobiota bacterium. RNAcentral describes it as "Verrucomicrobia bacterium partial 16S ribosomal RNA". It matches the Rfam family "Bacterial small subunit ribosomal RNA", at positions 355 to 776 of the family's 1533-position model. Lineage: Bacteria; Pseudomonadati; Verrucomicrobiota. The record is from RNAcentral.